AUUCUACUGAUUAGAGUUUGAUCUUCGCUCAGGGAUGAAAGCUGGCGGCGUGCCUAAGACAUGCAAGUCGAGCGGGGCAGGUUUAUGCCUGUUCAGCGGCGGACGGGUGAGUAACGCGUGGGUGACCUACCCGGGAGAGGCGGACAACCUGGGGAAACUCAGGCUAAUCCGCCAUGUGGUCCUGUUCUGUGGGGCGGGACCAAAGGGUGGAUAGCCCGCUUCCGGAUGGGCCCGCGUCCCAUCAGCUGGUUGGUGGGGUAAAGGCCCACCAAAGCGACGACGGGUAGCCGGUCUGAGAGGAUGGCCGGCCACGGGGGCACUGAGACACGGGCCCCACUCCUACGGGAGGCAGCAGUUAGGAAUUUUCCGCAAUGGACGGAGGUCUGACGGAGCGACUCCGCUUGGAGGAGGAAGCCCUUCGGGGCGUAAACUCUUGAACUGGGGACGAAAGCCCUGAGUUAGGGGGAUCACCGUACCCACGUAAUAACACCCUNCCAAUUUCCUGCCAGAUAUUCUCAGUAAAUAACGCUAUUACNUCNAGCUCUUAACC
Molecule: ribosomal RNA, 550 nt
Filed under: uncultured bacterium
Lineage: Bacteria
Description: bacterial SSU rRNA
Rfam family: Bacterial small subunit ribosomal RNA
Source: RNAcentral